Molecule: ribosomal RNA, 528 nt
Filed under: uncultured bacterium
Lineage: Bacteria
Description: bacterial SSU rRNA
Rfam family: Bacterial small subunit ribosomal RNA
Source: RNAcentral
AAUAGAUACCCUGGUAGUCCACGCCCUAAACGAUGUCAACUGGUUGUUGGGUCUUUUCUGACUCAGUAACGAAGCUAACGCGUGAAGUUGACCGCCUGGGGAGUACGGCCGCAAGGUUGAAACACAAAGGAAUUGACGGGGACCCGCACAAGCGGUGGAUGAUGUGGUUUAAUUCGAUGCAACGCGAAAAACCUUACCCACCUUUGACAUGUACGGAAGUUGCCAGAGAUGGCUUCGUGCUCGAAAGAGAGCCGUAACACAGGUGCUGCAUGGCUGUCGUCAGCUCGUGUCGUGAGAUGUUGGGUUAAGUCCCGCAACGAGCGCAACCCUUGUCAUUAGUUGCUACGAAAGGGCACUCUAAUGAGACUGCCGGUGACAAACCGGAGGAAGGUGGGGAUGACGUCAAGUCCUCAUGGCCCUUAUAGGUGGGGCUACACACGUCAUACAAUGGCCGGUACAAAGGGCAGCCAACCCGCGAGGGGGAGCUAAUCCCAUAAAGCCGGUCGUAGUCCGGAUCGCAGUCUGCAA